GAGAACAGAAGAGCAACUAACAAUGAAGUCACUGGGGUUUGGAAAGGAUCACUGUAUUAUAAACACGUUUACAUCUGAUAAAGUAUGCUUUGGAUACUGUGGAACAGAUGCUUGUGCUACAUUAAAGAAGAAGCAAAGUCUGGCAGCAAAGUUAAGUUGAUACUUGAUGGGUCCAAAGAUAUGUCCACUUCUGAGACAGAACAGAAAACAAACAAUGGUAUAAAGAAGAGAAAAAAUGCUGUUGAUGUUUUUUUUUGUUUUGUUUUCUUGAUGCAUGAAUUGAUUUUUAAAAAUCUACAAAUUUAAAUACUAACUCCUGGAACACAAAGUACUGGAGCCUCUGAUUACUCAGACAGUUAUAAAGAUUAUAUUUUGUUAAGAAAG
Molecule: long non-coding RNA, 384 nt
Filed under: Fukomys damarensis (Damara mole-rat)
Lineage: Eukaryota; Metazoa; Chordata; Mammalia; Rodentia; Bathyergidae
Description: lncRNA (ENSFDAG00000022492.1)
Source: RNAcentral